This 504-nucleotide ribosomal RNA is filed under the name uncultured bacterium. RNAcentral describes it as "partial 16S ribosomal RNA". It matches the Rfam family "Bacterial small subunit ribosomal RNA", at positions 29 to 523 of the family's 1533-position model. The record is from RNAcentral.
AUUGAACGCUGGCGGCAGGCCUAACACAUGCAAGUCGAACGGUAGCACAGAGAGCUUGCUCUCGGGUGACGAGUGGCGGACGGGUGAGUAACGUCUGGGAAACUGCCCGAUGGAGGGGGAUAACUACUGGAAACGGUAGCUAAUACCGCAUAACGUCGCAAGACCAAAGUGGGGGACCUUCGGGCCUCACACCAUCGGAUGUGCCCAGAUGGGAUUAGCUAGUAGGUGGGGUAAUGGCUCACCUAGGCGACGAUCCCUAGCUGGUCUGAGAGGAUGACCAGCCACACUGGAACUGAGACACGGUCCAGACUCCUACGGGAGGCGGCAGUGGGGAAUAUUGCACAAUGGGCGCAAGCCUGAUGCAGCCAUGCCGCGUGUAUGAAGAAGGCCUUCGGGUUGUAAAGUACUCUCAGCGGGGAGGAAGGCGGUGAAGUUAAUAGCUUCACCGAUUGACGUUACCCGCAGAAGAAGCACCGGCUAACUCCGUGCCAGCCGCCGCGGUAA